GCCUUCGUGGUGCAACGGUAGUACACUUGGAGCGUAUUCGAGAGGUCCAGGUUCGAGUCCCGGCGAGGGCA
RNAcentral lists this transfer RNA (71 nucleotides) under Stegodyphus mimosarum. It matches the Rfam family "tRNA". From Rfam's summary of the family: Transfer RNA (tRNA) molecules are approximately 80 nucleotides in length. Their secondary structure includes four short double-helical elements and three loops (D, anti-codon, and T loops). Further hydrogen bonds mediate the characteristic L-shaped molecular structure. tRNAs have two regions of fundamental functional importance: the anti-codon, which is responsible for specific mRNA codon recognition, and the 3' end, to which the tRNAs corresponding amino acid is attached (by aminoacyl-tRNA synthetases). tRNAs cope with the degeneracy of the genetic code in two manners: having more than one tRNA (with a specific anti-codon) for a particular amino acid; and 'wobble' base-pairing, i.e. permitting non-standard base-pairing at the 3rd anti-codon position. The record is from Rfam by way of RNAcentral. Lineage: Eukaryota; Metazoa; Arthropoda; Arachnida; Araneae; Eresidae.